GGAAGCAUAGCUCAGUUGGGAGAGCAUCUGCCUUACAAGCAGAGGGUCAUAGGUUCGAGCCCUAUUGUUUCCA
RNAcentral lists this transfer RNA (73 nucleotides) under Clostridiales bacterium. Its description in RNAcentral is "tRNA-Val". It matches the Rfam family "tRNA". From Rfam's summary of the family: Transfer RNA (tRNA) molecules are approximately 80 nucleotides in length. RNAcentral also lists the same sequence under 3 other names. The record is from RNAcentral. Lineage: Bacteria; Bacillati; Bacillota; Clostridia; Eubacteriales.